Molecule: transfer RNA, 84 nt
Filed under: Rubellimicrobium mesophilum DSM 19309
Lineage: Bacteria; Pseudomonadati; Pseudomonadota; Alphaproteobacteria; Rhodobacterales; Roseobacteraceae
Also listed under: 2 other names
Description: Rubellimicrobium sp. MSL 20 tRNA
Rfam family: tRNA
About the family: Transfer RNA (tRNA) molecules are approximately 80 nucleotides in length.
Source: Rfam by way of RNAcentral
GCCCAGGUGGUGGAAUUGGUAGACGCGCUGGUUUCAGGUACCAGUGUCCGAAAGGACGUGGAGGUUCGAGUCCUCUCCUGGGCA